UUGGAUUUGAGUGUUCCGCACAUCUCCCAUGCCGUCAACGACAUGAUGAAGGAGCGGUUCAAGGAUUAUCGCAGUAAGUUACACCGGCAAUACAAGCAGUGCAUGAGCCACGAGGAGGCCGUACAGUUCGCACCGCUGCACGUGACCGAUGAGGACUGGCAGAUACUCUGCGAUAGGUUUUCGUCUGAUUCUUUUCAGUGAGAUUCCGUCACUGGCCAGGAGCCCGGACCAGUAGACUUCUACAAAGGGACUCACUGUCGGCAGACAACAGGAUCUUGGGUACAUCCUAGAGCCAGCGAGAUUUGGAUAAAGAUCCUUACAUUGAGGAGAUGAACACCUUACGCAGUUAGCCCACUCCCGAUGGUACUCAGCGGAGUGAGCCAGAGAUCCUGAGUCAGGUGCUUGGCACCCGUUCUGGAUAUGUGCGUGGGUUUGGCCAUGGUGCCAAACUCAUGGCACCCGCUAGAGCUGCCUCUAGCCGAUCCAUCGUCGUUGGCGACAGCGCCGUACGCCGAGCUGAUACUGCAGAGAGAGAGGUUCAGCAGCU
Magnolia sinica is the source of this 547-nucleotide long non-coding RNA. RefSeq lists it as uncharacterized. The transcript is spliced from 3 exons. The record is from RefSeq and is a predicted model, not a curated record. Lineage: Eukaryota; Viridiplantae; Streptophyta; Magnoliopsida; Magnoliales; Magnoliaceae.